Molecule: ribosomal RNA, 253 nt
Filed under: uncultured bacterium
Lineage: Bacteria
Description: partial 16S ribosomal RNA
Rfam family: Bacterial small subunit ribosomal RNA
Source: RNAcentral
UACGUAGGGUGCAAGCGUUAAUCGGAAUUACUGGGCGUAAAGCGUGCGCAGGCGGUGAUGCAAGGCAGAUGUGAAAUCCCCGGGCUUAACCUGGGAACUGCAUUUGUGACUGCAUUGCUGGAGUGCGGCAGAGGGGGAUGGAAUUCCGCGUGUAGCAGUGAAAUGCGUAGAUAUGCGGAGGAACACCGAUGGCGAAGGCAAUCCCCUGGGCCUGCACUGACGCUCAUGCACGAAAGCGUGGGGAGCAAACAGG